This 365-nucleotide ribosomal RNA is filed under the name uncultured soil bacterium. Its description in RNAcentral is "bacterial SSU rRNA". It matches the Rfam family "Bacterial small subunit ribosomal RNA", at positions 26 to 396 of the family's 1533-position model. The record is from RNAcentral.
AGAUUGAACGCUGGCGGCAUGCUUUACACAUGCAAGUCGAACGGUAACAGGCCGCAAGGUGCUGACGAGUGGCGAACGGGUGAGUAAUGCAUCGGAACGUGCCCAGUCGUGGGGGAUAACGCAGCGAAAGCUGUGCUAAUACCGCAUACGAUCUAUGGAUGAAAGCGGGGGACCGAAAGGCCUCGCGCGAUUGGAGCGGCCGAUGUCAGAUUAGCUAGUUGGUGGGGUAAAGGCCCACCAAGGCGACGAUCUGUAGCUGGUCUGAGAGGACGACCAGCCACACUGGAACUGAGACACGGUCCAGACUCUACGGGAGGCAGCAGUGGGGAAUUUGGACAAUGGGCGCGAAGCCUGAUCCAGCAAUG